UAGUGAGGAAACACUGGGCUGGAGAAGAGCAGGAAAGAACAGGCAGCUGCGUCAUUGAAACACCAUCACUCAGUUUUGCUACUACCCAGACGACAGCCAGAGUAUGUGCUGUAGAAGAUACCACAUCUGAUGUUUUCCUUUAUGUGACAAUAAAAGGUGAAAAGAUCUUGCUGUAUCUGGUUCUGUUCUUGAAAAGACAUGACAAAGCUCCAACACAGAUGACAGUGAAACUACCACAUCUAUUGUCAAAACAAUCCCAGGAUUGCCUUUCAAGGAAAAUCCAGCAGUUCACACAGACAGGCUUCAGCAGUGCUUAAAUUGUGAUCCUUUGAACACACAUAGAACUGAAAAUGAGCAACAGAGUUUUCAAAAUCUUGAAGAAAGAAACUUUGUCUUUCUUGGCAAGAAAAUGAAGCCACCAUCAAUUCUGGAAACAGCACCACUUCUUGAAGAUCUGGAAAGGAUAAUGCUAAUAUCACAGAAACAUAGACUCACUGAGGCUGUAAGGGACCACUGAAAAUGGCUCACACAGCUCCAAGUAAGACAAGAUGUUUCUGCUUCUAUGAAACUUUUGGACCUUUCACCGUGUGUUGCUGCACAUC
Colius striatus (speckled mousebird) is the source of this 602-nucleotide long non-coding RNA. RefSeq lists it as uncharacterized. The record is from RefSeq and is a predicted model, not a curated record. The transcript is spliced from 6 exons. Lineage: Eukaryota; Metazoa; Chordata; Aves; Coliiformes; Coliidae.